Molecule: ribosomal RNA, 1359 nt
Filed under: metagenome
Description: bacterial LSU rRNA
Rfam family: Bacterial large subunit ribosomal RNA
Source: RNAcentral
AUUCCAGGGCCUGCUAGAAGUGACGGAUGCUGUAAAUUGUUCUUGCCGGAUGGAAGUGGUGAGGGCUGUGAAGGUGUCCCAGGAAAUAACUCUAGCGUAUAGACCGUACCCCAAACCGACACAGGUGGACUGGUAGAGUAUACCAAGGCGCUUGAGAGAAUGAUGUUGAAGGAACUCGGCAAAUUGCCCUUGUAACUUCGGAAGAAGAGGGCCCUAUUUGUGGGCAACCAUGAAUAGGGGGCACAUAAUUGGGGGUAGCGACUGUUUAACAAAAACACAGGACUCUGCGAAGCCGGAAGGCGACGUAUAGGGUCUGACGCCUGCCCGGUGCCGGAAGGUUAAGAGGAGGAGUGCAAGCUCUGAAUUGAAGCCCCGGUAAACGGCGGCCGUAACAAUAACGGUCCUAAGGUAGCGAAAUUCCUUGUCGGGUAAGUUCCGACCUGCACGAAUGGCGUAACGACUUCCCCACUGUCUCCAACAUCAACUCAGCGAAACUGGAUUCUUCGUGAAGAUACGGAGUACCCGCGGCUAGACGGAAAGACCCCAUGCACCUUUACUAUAGCUUUGCAGUGGUAUUAGGGAAGAGAUGUGUAGGAUAGGCGGGAGCCGAUGAAGCGCUGGCGCUAGCUAGUGUGGAGGCGCCCUUGAAAUACCGCCCUUUUGUUCUCUGAUAUCUAACCGAGCCUCAAAAACGGGGGCCGGGACCCUGCAUGGUGGGUAGUUUGACUGGGGCGGUCGCCUCCCAAAAGGUAACGGAGGCGCGCGAUGGUGGGCUCAGGUUGGUCGGAAAUCAACCGCUGAGUGUAAUGGCACAAGCCCGCCUGACUGCGAGACUGACAAGUCGAGCAGAGACGAAAGUCGGCCAUAGUGGUCCGGUGGUUCUGAGUGGAAGGGCCAUCGCUCAACGAAUAAAAGGUACGCUGGGGAUAACAGGCUGAUCUCCCCCAAGAGUCCAUAUCGACGGGGAGGUUUGGCACCUCGAUGUCGGCUCAUCACAUCCUGGGGCUGGAGCAGGUCCCAAGGGUAUGGCUGUUCGCCAUUUAAAGUGGUACGUGAGCUGGGUUCAGAACGUCGUGAGACAGUUCGGUCCCUAUCUACCGUGGGUGUUUGGAGAAUUGAGAGGAUCUGUCCCUAGUACGAGAGGACCGGGAUGGACGUACCUCUGUUGUAUCGGUUGUCGCGCCAGCGGCAUCGCCGAGUAGCUAAGUACGGACGGGAUAACUGCUGAACGCAUCUAAGCGGGAAACCCACCUCGAAAUAAGUUCUCCCUAUGAAGGCCGUGGUAGACCACCACGUUAAUAGGCCGGAAGUGGAAGUGCCGUAAGGCAUGUAGCUAACCGGUACUAAUCGCCUCAUUGG